AGAGUUUGAUCAUGGCUCAGGAUGAACGCUAGCUACAGGCUUAACACAUGCAAGUCGAGGGGCAGCAUGUUGGUUGCUUGCAACCAACGAUGGCGACCGGCGCACGGGUGAGUAACGCGUAUCCAACCUACCCUUGUCCAUCGGAUAACCCGUCGAAAGGCGGCCUAACACGAUAUGCGGUUCACGGCAGGCAUCUAAGGUGAACGAAAUGUGAAGGAGAAGGAUGGGGAUGCGUCUGAUUAGCUUGUUGGCGGGGUAACGGCCCACCAAGGCUACGAUCAGUAGGGGUUCUGAGAGGAAGGUCCCCCACAUUGGAACUGAGACACCGGUCAAACCUCCGUACGGGAGCA
This 350-nucleotide ribosomal RNA is filed under the name uncultured bacterium. Its description in RNAcentral is "bacterial SSU rRNA". It matches the Rfam family "Bacterial small subunit ribosomal RNA", at positions 8 to 350 of the family's 1533-position model. The record is from RNAcentral.